RNAcentral lists this RNase P RNA (332 nucleotides) under human gut metagenome. RNAcentral describes it as "Bacterial RNase P class A". It matches the Rfam family "Bacterial RNase P class A". Rfam says of the family: Ribonuclease P (RNase P) is a ubiquitous endoribonuclease, found in archaea, bacteria and eukarya as well as chloroplasts and mitochondria. The record is from RNAcentral.
UAAUCGCGCCUGAUUUUCAGGUGAGGAAAGUCCGUGCAUUCAAGGACAGGCAGCCGGGGAAAUCCCGGACGGCGUGAGCCGGUGGAUAGGACCACAGAAAUGUAGACUGCCAAUGGUUUUAUAUAAACACAGGCGAUGGUGCAACGGUGAGUUAAGAGCUUCACCGGCGGUAUUGAGAAAUAUCGGCCAGGCAACCCCCUGCAGAAUGCAAGAUUAAAUUGAAGGUUAUAAAGGCUGUCCGCCAACUUCAGAAAAAUCGCUAGAGAUUGAAAGUAAUUUCAAUACCAGACAGAUGAUUAUUUAGAAACAGAACACGGCUUACGAGUUACUUU